GAUUGUAACGAAGAAAUGACGAUUAAAAGAAGUUCAGUGGCAUAACCGUAAAUAAUUCGAAGUUCAGUUUUUUUUAAAACCCAGAUUUUCUGCAAUUUGGCAGCUGGACCAGCUGAAUUCCAAAGGUGAUAUCUCUCAACUCCGGCCACCAAUCGAAGAAAGACCAGUCUCGUUAGAACCACCAUGCUUCCCUCUUCUAGUCCCAGCCCAUCUCAGCCUUGAUCCAUCGUU
Molecule: long non-coding RNA, 231 nt
Filed under: Prunus persica (peach)
Lineage: Eukaryota; Viridiplantae; Streptophyta; Magnoliopsida; Rosales; Rosaceae
Description: long non-coding RNA (PPER_LNC000926)
Source: RNAcentral